CCUACGGGGGGCAGCAGUGAGGAAUAUUGGUCAAUGGGCGUAAGCCUGAACCAGCCAAGUCGCGUGAGGGAUGAAGGAUCUAUGGUUCGUAAACCUCUUUUAUAAGGGAAUAAAGUGCGGGACGUGUCCUGUUUUGUAUGUACCUUAUGAAUAAGGAUCGGCUAACUCCGUGCCAGCAGCCGCGGUAAUACGGAGGAUCCGAGCGUUAUCCGGAUUUAUUGGGUUUAAAGGGUGCGUAGGCGGCCUUUUAAGUCAGCGGUGAAAGUCUGUGGCUCAACCAUAGAAUUGCCGUUGAAACUGGGGGGCUUGAGUAUGUUUGAGGCAGGCGGAAUGCGUGGUGUAGCGGUGAAAUGCAUAGAUAUCACGCAGAACCCCGAUUGCGAAGGCAGCCUGCCAAGCCAUGACUGACGCUGAUGCACGAAAGCGUGGGGAUCGAACA
This 439-nucleotide ribosomal RNA is filed under the name uncultured bacterium. Its description in RNAcentral is "bacterial SSU rRNA". It matches the Rfam family "Bacterial small subunit ribosomal RNA", at positions 338 to 774 of the family's 1533-position model. The record is from RNAcentral.